RNAcentral lists this ribosomal RNA (468 nucleotides) under uncultured bacterium. RNAcentral describes it as "partial 16S ribosomal RNA". It matches the Rfam family "Bacterial small subunit ribosomal RNA", at positions 28 to 507 of the family's 1533-position model. The record is from RNAcentral.
GACGAACGCUGGCGGCGUGCUUAACACAUGCAAGUCGAACGGACAGGCCCUGCUUUUGUGGGGUGCUCGAGUGGCGAACGGGUGAGUAACACGUGAGUAACCUGCCCUUGACUUUGGGAUAACUUCAGGAAACUGGGGCUAAUACCGGAUAGGAGCUCCUGCUGCAUGGUGGGGGUUGGAAAGUUUCGGCGGUUGGGGAUGGACUCGCGGCUUAUCGGCUUGUUGGUGGGGUAGUGGCUUACCAAGGCUUUGACGGGUAGCCGGCCUGAGAGGGUGACCGGCCACAUUGGGACUGAGAUACGGCCCAGACUCCUACGGGAGGCAGCAGUGGGGAAUAUUGCACAAUGGGCGGAAGCCUGAUGCAGCAACGCCGCGUGCGGGAUGACGGCCUUCGAGUUGUAAACCGCUUUCGCCUGUGACGAAGCGUGAGUGACGGUAAUGGGUAAAGAAGCACCGGCUAACUACGUG